UCCGGCUUAUCACCGGCAGUUUCUUUAGAGUGCUCAACUAAAUGGUAGCAACUAAAGACGAGGGUUGCGCUCGUUGCGGGACUUAACCCAACAUCUCACGACGCGAGCUGACGACAGCCAUGCAGCACCUGUGCGGACUCCGGCCGAACCGAAGGGAGCGUCUCUGCUCCCGGCGAGUCCCAUGUCAGGGGCUGGUAAGGUUCUUCGCGUUGCGUCGAAUUGAACCACAUGCUCCACCGCUUGUGCGGGCCCCCGUCAAUUCCUUUGAGUUUCAACCUUGCGGUCGUACUCCCCAGGUGGCUCACUUAACGGUUUCCCUUGGACGCACAACGUCUAGCGCCAUACGUCGAGUGAGCAUCGUUUAGGGCGUGGACUAC
RNAcentral lists this unclassified non-coding RNA (377 nucleotides) under uncultured bacterium. Its description in RNAcentral is "contains 16S-23S intergenic spacer region". The record is from RNAcentral.